AUUGAACGCUGGCGGCAGGCCUAACACAUGCAAGUCGAACGAGUGGCGGACGGGUGAGUAAUGUCUGGGAAACUGCCUGAUGGAGGGGGAUAACUACUGGAAACGGUAGCUAAUACCGCAUACCAUCGGAUGUGCCCAGAUGGGAUUAGCUAGUCGGUGGGGUAACGGCUCACCUAGGCGACGAUCCCUAGCUGGUCUGAGAGGAUGACCAGCCACCAUGGAACUGAGACACGGUCCAGACGCCUACGGGAGGCAGCAGGGGGGAAUAUGGCAGAAUGGGCGCAAGCCUGAUGCAGCCAUGCCGCGUGUAUGAAGAAGGCCUUCGGGUUGUAAAGUACUUUCAGCGGGGAGGCGUUACCCGCAGAAGAAGCACCGGCUAACGCCGUGCCAGCCGCCGCGGUAAUUC
Molecule: ribosomal RNA, 406 nt
Filed under: uncultured bacterium
Lineage: Bacteria
Description: partial 16S ribosomal RNA
Rfam family: Bacterial small subunit ribosomal RNA
Source: RNAcentral